CCCCAGUCGGUGGGAGAGGGGAGUGGAAUUCCAGGUGUAGCGGUGAAAUGCGUANAGAUCUGGAGGAACAUCAGUGGCGAAGGCGACUCCCUGGCCAAAGACUGACGCUCAUGUGCGAAAGUGUGGGUAGCGAACAGGAUUAGAUACCCUGGUAGUCCACACCGUAAACGCUGUCUACUACGAACAGGAUUAGAUACCCUGGUAGUCCACACCGUAAACGCUGUCUACUANCUGUGUGUGAAUUUAAUUCGUGCGUACGAAGCUAACGCGCUAAGUANACCGCCUGGGGAGUNCGGGCGCAAGGUUAAAACUCNAAGGAAUUGANGGGGG
This 330-nucleotide ribosomal RNA is filed under the name humic substances-degrading bacterium HS199. Its description in RNAcentral is "bacterial SSU rRNA". It matches the Rfam family "Bacterial small subunit ribosomal RNA", at positions 641 to 919 of the family's 1533-position model. The record is from RNAcentral. Lineage: Bacteria; Pseudomonadati; Pseudomonadota; Gammaproteobacteria.